ACAGUAGCGCCAACACCGUCUGACUCCGCCGCAGAAAGGGGGCAGGCCGACUGUCCCCGCGGGGAAGACGACACCGGCCCCCUUACCGUCCCCCGCUUCGGACAGGGGCACGCGGAGCCCACACCAGUGACACGGCCGGACCAGCAGGGGAACAAAAUGGACACCAAAACACCAUCAAAAAGCGUUCGCUAAAGGGAAAAAUAUUUUUCCUAUGGGUCUGUCUACCUGCGAGGCCUCAAAAAAUACUGGAGGCACAGGAAAAGAA
This is a long non-coding RNA of Anguilla anguilla (European eel), 265 nucleotides long. RefSeq lists it as uncharacterized. The record is from RefSeq and is a predicted model, not a curated record. NCBI's taxonomy places the organism in Eukaryota, Metazoa, Chordata, Actinopteri, Anguilliformes, Anguillidae. The transcript has 2 exons.